UACAGAGGGUGCGAGCGUUGUUCGGAAUUACUGGGCGUAAAGCGCGCGCAGGCGGCCUUUUAAGUCUGACGGUGAAAUGCCGGGGCUCAACCCCGUGCCCGCCGCGGAUACUGGGAGGCUGGAGACAUGUAGAGGCAAGCGGAAUUCCGGGUGUAGCGGUGGAAUGCGUAGAGAUCCGGAAGAACACCGGAGGCGAAGGCGGCUUGCUGGGCAUGGUCUGACGCUGAGGCGCGAAAGCGUGGGGAGCGAACAGG
RNAcentral lists this ribosomal RNA (254 nucleotides) under uncultured bacterium. Its description in RNAcentral is "partial 16S ribosomal RNA". It matches the Rfam family "Bacterial small subunit ribosomal RNA", at positions 524 to 776 of the family's 1533-position model. The record is from RNAcentral.